CCUACGGGAGGCAGCAGUAGGGAAUAUUGCUCAAUGGGGGAAACCCUGAAGCAGCAACGCCGCGUGGAGGAUGAAGGUUUUCGGAUUUUUAACUCCUUUUUUUAGAGAAGAUAAUGACGGUACCUAACGAAUAAGCACCGGUUAACUCCGUGCAAGCAGCCGCCGUAAUACGGAGGGUUCAAGCGUUACUCGGAAUCAUUGGGCGUAAAAAGCGCUUAGGCGGGAUAACAAGUCCGAUGUCAAAUCGUAUGGCUUAACCAUAGAAGUGCAUUUGAAACUGUUAUUCUAGAGUAUGGGAGAGGUAGGUGGAAUUCGUGGUGUAGGGGUAAAA
This 331-nucleotide ribosomal RNA is filed under the name uncultured bacterium. RNAcentral describes it as "partial 16S ribosomal RNA". It matches the Rfam family "Bacterial small subunit ribosomal RNA", at positions 338 to 686 of the family's 1533-position model. The record is from RNAcentral.